GCCAUGCCUCAGUGGCACAGCAUCUGCUUUGCAGGCAGAAGGUCAUUGGUUCAAUCCCCAGCAUUUUCAGUU
Molecule: transfer RNA, 72 nt
Filed under: Sphaerodactylus townsendi
Lineage: Eukaryota; Metazoa; Chordata; Lepidosauria; Squamata; Sphaerodactylidae
Description: tRNA-Ala
Source: RNAcentral